CGUGCGGUUCUAUUUUGUUGGUUUCUAGGACCGCCGUAAUGAUUAAUAGGGAUAGUCGGGGGCAUCCGUAUUCAAUUGUCAGAGGUGAAAUUCUUGGAUUUAUUGAAGACGAACUACUGCGAAAGCAUUUGCCAAGGAUGUUUUCAUUAAUCAGGAACGAAAGUUGAGGGAUCGAAGACGAUCAGAUACCGUCGUAGUCUCAACCAUAAACUAUGCCGACUAGGGAUCGGACAUUGUUAAAUUAUUGACUUGUUCGGCACCUUAUGAGAAAUCAAAGUUUUUGGGUUCCGGGGGGAGUAUGGUCGCAAGGCUGAAACUUAAAGGAAUUGACGGAAGGGCACCACCAGGAGUGGAGCCUGCGGCUUAAUUUGACUCAACACGG
This 382-nucleotide ribosomal RNA is filed under the name uncultured fungus. RNAcentral describes it as "SSU rRNA". It matches the Rfam family "Eukaryotic small subunit ribosomal RNA", at positions 827 to 1208 of the family's 1831-position model. Lineage: Eukaryota; Fungi. The record is from RNAcentral.